GACGAACGCUGGCGGCGUGCUUAACACAUGCAAGUCGAACGGAAAGGCCCUGCUUUUGUGGGGUGCUCGAGUGGCGAACGGGUGAGUAACACGUGAGUAACCUGCCCCUGACUUUGGGAUAACUUCAGGAAACUGGGGCUAAUACCGGAUAGGAGCUCCUGCUGCAUGGUGGGGGUUGGAAAGUUUCGGCGGUUGGGGAUGGACUCGCGGCUUAUCAGCUUGUUGGUGGGGUAGUGGCUUACCAAGGCUUUGACGGGUAGCCGGCCUGAGAGGGUGACCGGCCACAUUGGGACUGAGAUACGGCGCAGACUCCUACGGGAGGCAGCGGUGGGGAAUAUUGCGCAAUGGGCGGGAGCCUGAUGCAGCGGCGCCGCGUGCGGGAUGACGGCCUUCGGGUUAUAAACCGCUUUCGCCUGUGACGAAGCGUGAGUGACGGUAAUGGGUAAAGAAGCACCGGCUAACUACGUG
Molecule: ribosomal RNA, 468 nt
Filed under: uncultured bacterium
Lineage: Bacteria
Description: partial 16S ribosomal RNA
Rfam family: Bacterial small subunit ribosomal RNA
Source: RNAcentral